AAACAACAACACGAAGGCAUUUUUGCUCCCAUUAGUUCCUAGUGAAAUAUUCUAUAAUAUUUUAAUAAUAAGGCAGCGGUAAGCAUCCGCCAAAAACAUCAUCGGAGAGUUUACCCUGCUGGUUAUGGGGAGGUUGAUCUGACCUUCGGAUUCUUUUCCAUGUAAUGAAAUUCCAUUCGGAAAUGUAAUUCUGCUACUAAUUCUGGGAAAAAAGUUCCUGGCUAUUCACUAGGUAUAUAGUGAAAUGUAAGUACUACUUUUCAACCCUGAGUUGGUCCCAUCGAUGAUUGGCAACAAUAAUGUGCUAAACAUUCGGUUUGAAGAUGAUUUCACUCAUCCAAGAUUCAAAAUUGCGCAGUUCUGAAGAAACAAGAUGAGUCUACGUGGGAAACUUCUGGGAAGCGUAGGAUGAGUUGUAUCCGAUGUAUACGUGGCGAUUCUUGAGAUAUGUUUCACAUUGGAUUUCAUAUUGACUGGAGAUUUAUGGCAAAAAAAUGUAUGCAUGUGAAUGAAUAAUAGAGAAAUUGAU
Long non-coding RNA from Armigeres subalbatus, 529 nucleotides. RefSeq lists it as uncharacterized. The record is from RefSeq and is a predicted model, not a curated record. The transcript is spliced from 3 exons. Lineage: Eukaryota; Metazoa; Arthropoda; Insecta; Diptera; Culicidae.